ACUAGGAACUAUAGACAAUAGUUCUCACCCUCGUGUUGUUUUUGGGGGUAUAGGUUCACACGUGAGCGGCGCGGCGGCGCGAGGCGAGGGCGUAGCUCCAUAGUUAGCGCCCUACCACCGAGACCAGAGAUAGCAGUAUCCUAAGUCGGCUUAGUUUAGGAGUAUAGAAAUGAAAUGAUCAAUGUUGUAAUAAUUAUGUUGAAAACUUGAUUGUAUUUGGAAGCUAAAAAGAGACUUAAAGAAUGUAAAAUGUGAUGUAAAAUGUAGAAUUUGAGUUGAAUGAUUGUAAUAACUUAGUUGUAUUUAUGUUUUUGAUA
RNAcentral lists this long non-coding RNA (317 nucleotides) under Ananas comosus (pineapple). RNAcentral's name for it is "long non-coding RNA (ACOM_LNC033342)". The record is from RNAcentral. Lineage: Eukaryota; Viridiplantae; Streptophyta; Magnoliopsida; Poales; Bromeliaceae.